RNAcentral lists this long non-coding RNA (2659 nucleotides) under Homo sapiens (human). Its description in RNAcentral is "HSALNT0295258". Lineage: Eukaryota; Metazoa; Chordata; Mammalia; Primates; Hominidae. The record is from RNAcentral.
GAGGCGCGCAGCGGCGGCGCAGGCGCGGAGAGGCGCUGGCGCCGGCUCUGGCGCGGAGAGGCGCAGGCCCAGGCUCCACUCCCCAGCUGUGAAAGGUGUCCUGCAGGUUUCUGUGAGCAGAGCAGACAGAAAGGAGAUGCCCAGUGACGUCAGCUGUCCCCCACAGAGCUUCCUGGAGCCUGGGCUCCAGGCUGAGGGUCCUUGGACAGACGUCAUCUCCCUGGCUUCAGCAGAAUCACCCACAAACCCACCCUGUGCCCACCCUCCCAUCACAGAGAGCAGCUGCUGGAGAAGGCAGCAUGAGACUUUGAAGACCUCGAGGAGCAGGAGACACAGGAGACAAUGGCCAGGAUGGUCAUGGUGGCGCGGCUAUGCCAUCACUGAUUUCUGCCUACCUGCCCCCUAAGUCUCACUUGCUACUACUCUCAAUUUCCUACUUAAUGCUUCAGAGAGCACCAGUCCUGAGAUGAGAGGCGGGAUGUUCACUCUCUGGGAGUUGAGAUGGAACCCAGGCAGUUAGAAAAAAGUGCCACAGCCACGUGCCGAGCCUACUACUUGUCAGGAGCUCAGUGAGUCAUCCAAUUCCUAAAACAACUGUGCUGCAUGUGCUCCACCGCGCCUGGGCGACUCGGGGAAAUGGGCUGCGGGAGGCUUAGUGACCUGCCCUGGGUGACACGGAUGGCAUGGAUGCCCUGUCCAUGCACGGGGCUGUGCUAGGAGAGGACAGGAUCAUCCCCAGAAGCUGGUCCUGUGUCCACUGCUCACGGUGGCAGCUGCUUGGGCUGACAACGCCCCCCACCUCCUGAUCAGAUAGUGAUAUACUUGGUCCAAACUUCGAAAGUAAAAAAGUUAAAACAGAAAAAUAGUCUCCUGGUCAUUCAUGCUCUCUGGUUCCCUUUUCAUUAGUAUCUCUUUCUCCUUCUAUUUAUGGAUCUAGUUAUUUAAAGCACAGAUGGUGACAUUCUGUACAUAUUCUGCAUUUUGCUUUUUAAGUCUAUUUUAUUAUGACGUACAAUACAUAUAGAAAAGUGGAAAAAACUGAAAUGAAUGAAUUUUCAUGAAGUGAGCAUUGGUGUAAACUGAGCCAGUACAUUGGGAACCCCCUUCAUUCUCCCUCCCAGUUACUGCACCAUCCCUCCUGCCACCGGUAAAUACUGCCCUGACCUUCAUGGUAACUACUUGCUUUGCUUCCAUUAGAUAUUCUAUUUUUGUUUCAGCUGUGCUUUUGAACUUUAUAGAAAUGGAUUCAUACAGGGUGUAUUCCUUCACAUUGAGCUGGCUGUGUGCAGCAUUGUGUGCAGUUGUUUCAUAUUGUAGCCGGGAACAGUGACUCAUCUUCAUUGCUCUUUAGCAUUCCAUUGUUUAAUUGAAUCCCAGUUUUCUUUUCCACUGUUGGUUGUGUUUAGAUUUUUUUCAGUUUGGGGUUACUAUGAAGGAUGCUAUAAAGAGCAUUCUUGUACAUGGCUCUUGUAGCACAGUGAACACAUUUCUGUUGGGUGUAGAGAUGUACGUAUAUGUGUGUGUGUGUGUGUGUGUGUGUGUAUAUAUAUAUAUACACCCCAAGGGGUAAAAUUGUUGGAUGUACAUACCUUUGACUUCAGUAAAUCAUGCCAAACUGCUUUCCAAAGUGGUUGUUCAUCUUUUUUUCCUUUUGUUUUUCAGUGGAUCCUUAUAGUUUGGGAUUCUUCCAUAAUGGUACAUAUAGAUGUGUCUCAUUUUUUUAAACAGUUGCAUAGUUUUCACAGCAUGGACAUAACAUGAUUUAUUUAACCUGUCUUCUGUUGUUGGACUUCGUUAUAUUUAUACUCAAACAAUGCCACAAUGAAUAACCUUCUUCAUAAGUUAAUUAAAUACUCGAUGAAAAAUACAGGUUUUUUUUCAGUUUAUAAAAGUAAUACUUGCUCACUGAGGAAAAAAAAAUCUGUAAAUUACAGAAAAACACAAAGGAAAUAUAUCCUCUGAUCCAACCAGAAAGAAAACUACUUUUCCUAUGUUGUGCGUAGCUCUCUAGUUUUUUCUUUCUUUAUAUCAAUUGGAUUUUUUUUUUUUUUUUUUUUUUUUUUGGAGACAGGGUCUCACUGUGUCACCCAGGCCGGAGUGCAGUGGCAUGAUCACAGCUCACUGAAGCCUCGACUUCCCAGGCUUAAGUGAUCCUCCUACCUCACUCAGCCUCCCGAGUAGUUGGGACCACAGGCAUGUGCCACCACAUCUGGCUAUUUUUAAUAUUUUUUGUAUAGAUGGGGUUUCGCCAUGCUGCUCAGGCAGGUCUCAAACUCCUGGCCUCAAGCCAUCUGCUUGUGUUGGCCUCCCAAAGUGCUGGAUUACAGGCAUGCACCACCACCCCCGGCCUAAUUGAAUUUUUAUUUUGGAAGAACCAUAUACCUUUAUACAUAUUCUUUCUAUGACUUAUUUUCUGUAGUUGAAGUUCAAGGGUGUUUGACAGUGUGAUGUGGUUAUUGUUAACCUGUAUGUGGGGGCAUACAGAUAUGUUUUUUUACUUUUUCCCAUAAGGCUAAGAUCAUCUCCAGAAAUAUUAAUUUUUUAGACAGUGUGAUUAUAGUUAUUUAAUACUCAUACUUAUCAAAAUAUUAUAUGUUAAAACCAAUAACCAUCUGAACUUAUUUGAAUAUAGUUUUUCCUAUUCUGUUCUUAGAAAUUU